Molecule: ribosomal RNA, 298 nt
Filed under: uncultured eukaryote
Lineage: Eukaryota
Description: partial 18S ribosomal RNA
Rfam family: Eukaryotic small subunit ribosomal RNA
Source: RNAcentral
CCCUUAGACACUCUAGGCGGCACGCGCGCUACAAUGGGUGGAAGAACGUGUUACUGCCUCCGAAAGGAGGGGUGAAUCACGAAUUCUUGCCCGUGAAUGGGAUAGUUUGUUGCAAUUUUCGGACUUGAACUAGGAAUCCCUUGUAAACAUGCUCAAGAAUAGCGUGUUGAAUGCGUCCCUGCCGUUUGUACACACCGCCCGUCGUUUCUUCCGACUGAUACUCAUUGUGAGUUGCAAGGACCCCUUAUUGGGAAAUUGCUGCAAAUGCUUUGUAUUGGAGGAAGAAAAAGUCGUAACA